AGCGAACGCUGGCGGCAGGCCUAACACAUGCAAGUCGAACGGAUCCUUCGGGAUUAGUGGCGGACGGGUGAGUAACACGUGGGAACGUGCCCUUUGGUUCGGAACAACUCAGGGAAACUUGAGCUGAUACCGGAUGUGCCCUUCGGGGGAAAGAUUUAUCGCCAUUGGAGCGGCCCGCGUCUGAUUAGCUAGUUGGGGAGGUAACGGCCCACCAAGGCGACGAUCAGUAGCUGGUCUGAGAGGAUGAUCAGCCACACUGGGACGGAGACACGGCCCAGACUCCUACGGGAGGCAGCAGUGGGGAAUCUUGCGCAAUGGGCGAAGGCCUGACGCAGCCAUGCCGCGUGAAUGAUGAAGGUCUAAGGAUUGUAAAACUCUUUCAGCGGGGACGAUAUGACGGUACCCGCAGAAGAAGCUCCGGCUAACUUCGU
RNAcentral lists this ribosomal RNA (431 nucleotides) under uncultured bacterium. RNAcentral's name for it is "partial 16S ribosomal RNA". It matches the Rfam family "Bacterial small subunit ribosomal RNA", at positions 29 to 506 of the family's 1533-position model. The record is from RNAcentral.